GUGCAGGGGGGUGUUUUUUCUGAAUUAAAAAUUAACCUGAUUUGUGGGGAAGAUCUUAGCGUGCCUGGUUUGCAAUAGUUUGGAGCUGUGCCUGAGCCAGGAGCUAGAAUUCCAGAAAGGCCCUGAAGGUGUUGGAAGGCCACACAUGAUUCCACUCAGCGGCAGUCCCAGCAUCUCUUCUCUGCCUGAAGUCUGGAGUGGGAUCUCCAGCCAUCCUGGGAGAUGACAUUCCACUGGGCAUCCGUGGGACUUCCACACUUCUAAUGACUGAAACACCUUCAGAAAUCCCAUCCUUAGCAUUCCUCAUUGCUGUCUCGUCUCCAGAAGUGCUUAGCAGCUUUGCUUGGGCUUUAUUGCUGGAUAUCACUCGGAUGAAAUCUUCUGAAUCUCCUCUCUUAAUGAUGAAUAUUUUUCAGUCACUCCUUUGGUUUAGAACAUCUGUGGAAGCCUUCAGUGAUGUUCUUCCAUCCAAGUGGCUGCUGAUAAAGAUAAGG
Long non-coding RNA from Lagopus muta (rock ptarmigan), 494 nucleotides. RefSeq lists it as uncharacterized. The record is from RefSeq and is a predicted model, not a curated record. The transcript has 3 exons. Lineage: Eukaryota; Metazoa; Chordata; Aves; Galliformes; Phasianidae.